This is a long non-coding RNA of Gossypium raimondii (Peruvian cotton), 513 nucleotides long. RefSeq lists it as uncharacterized. NCBI's taxonomy places the organism in Eukaryota, Viridiplantae, Streptophyta, Magnoliopsida, Malvales, Malvaceae. The transcript is spliced from 2 exons. The record is from RefSeq and is a predicted model, not a curated record.
UUGUCCAAACAUUACUUAAACUUGCUUUCUUUCCAAUAAAAAUGGAGGGCAGAAAAUUUGUUAGGAUUGUUGAAGUUAUAAUGGUGGUGAUAAUGGUGGUUUUGAGUGGAAUUUUGACUACAAACCCGAUGAUGUUGGCACUGGCAAGGCGGUUGAAUGAAGAGGUGGUGGCCGUAGGUGGUGUUGGUCCGGAUGACCAUUCGCCUAUUCCCCCGAUCAGGUCAUCUUGCAAAUCCCAUAUUCCGAGUCCCACAUGCCCUCCCUAUUCUUCAAUGCAUAGGUAAAAUGGCAAAUUGGGAUAGCAGAAAAGAUCAAAAGAAAUGCAGAGUUGUGAUAGAAACAGCUUGUUUCUUGAUUAUGUUUAAAGUUGAACAUGUAGUCAAAGGAUUAAUGUUUGUUUGUCUGAUGCUUGCGAAUAGUUGUAAUUGUAGGGACUACGAUUUAGUUGUAAUAAAAUACUUGAUUUAAGAAAAUAAAUGAAAGGAUUAUUGUGUAAAUUAAAUUAAAUUAUUA